Non-coding RNA from Lemur catta (Ring-tailed lemur), 173 nucleotides. The record is from Rfam. Lineage: Eukaryota; Metazoa; Chordata; Mammalia; Primates; Lemuridae.
GGAUAGUAUCCAUGGGAAUCAGAUAGGAUGCUGCACCCUAGACAGAAUUGUCUCACCAUUUGAAUAGGUAUUGCUCAGUCUGGAUUCAGUCAUCCCAGGGACGUUGGCUUUCUGGGUUUCUGUCUUCUUGGAUGGCUGCUUGUCACAAUAUUGUCUUCUUUGCUUUAGGCAAA